This is a non-coding RNA of Pelobates cultripes (western spadefoot toad), 311 nucleotides long. NCBI's taxonomy places the organism in Eukaryota, Metazoa, Chordata, Amphibia, Anura, Pelobatidae. The record is from the annotation of a GenBank genome assembly.
GGGGUGGGGGCCGGGGGGGAGGACAUUAGGUCCCCCCUAAUUAGUAUUUAGGGCCCUCACCCACCUAUUGUCCUCCCUAAAGUAAAGUAAUGGGGGGACCUAUUGUCCUCCCACCCCGGCCCCCACCCCUGAGUGGCGGGUGGGGGCCCUAAAUCAAAUAGGGGGGACCUAAUGCCCCCCCCGGCCCCCACCCUUGAGCGGUGGGUGGAGGCCCUAAAUACUAAUUAGGGGGGGACCUAAUGUCCUCCUCCCUGGCCCCCACCCCUGAGCAGUGGGUGGGGGCCCUAAAUUAGACAUUAGGUCCUCCCCCC